UGUACAUGUUCGGCGAAGGUUAGUGGUUGAACCAGAGCAUGAGAGAAGGAAAGAGAGGGCUUGGCGACCUCGCAGGAGCGACGCGAAGCUCGGCACAAGUUCUAUUUCGUUGGAACGGCAGCAAUUUGUGCGUUACCCGGUGGCAGAAAAGAUCUGCCCAUCCGCAAGGUUCAGCGGCUCACGGAGCAAAACUAGGGCACCAGGCCACUUGAGAUAGGAACAGGGUCUCGGAGGAGUGCCUAACCUUCUAAAAGAGGCGCCUAACGCGUGCAAUUGGCAACAAAUCUCAGGAACCCUGGGAUUGGGCAGCGUCGGCAUCGGUUUCUGUCCUACUCAGACAUACUCAGACAUGGCUCAGGGUAGAAGAAGAAGAAGUCAUUGUCAACUGGGGUCCCGUGGACAGCGACCAGAGAGGAAAGGGAAAGGGGGAGGCCGCGGGGCUGGCUUGGGCCGAGGCUAGGAGGGAAGGGAGGGGCGCGUUGGCGGGCCGAGCUGAGUUGGGUCGUGUCCUGGGGGCAUGAGCGCUGGGCCGAGGGAGCAGAAGAAAGGUUGGGCCUCACUGUGAGGAUCAGGGAGAGGUAGAGUUGGGCCACUCGGGCCAAAAGGAUAAGAAGGGGAGAUUUUCCUUUUUCUUUUGUUUUUUUUUUCAAAGCCUUUUCCAAACAAUUUAAAAACAGUUUGAAAUAUUUUGACUUCGCUCAAAUUCACACAGUGAAAUAAACCAUAUGCUCCAUCAUGAAUGCACAAUCAUGUUGCUAAAUUCCUUAGAUAAAUCUUAUUUAAAUGAAAAAUAUUAUUUUUCCUAUAUUCUAUGAGCACAAAAAUACAAAAUUAAAUCAAUUCAGCUCUAUUUCCAAAGGAACAAAUUUUAGGGUGUUACAAAUCUACCCCCUUAAAAUGAAUCUCGUCCUCUAGAUUCGGAAGAGGCUCGGAUUCAAAAAGAGAAACAGGAACAGGAUCUUAAUAACCCUUUUAACUUCACAACUUGUAUUCCAAAUGUAAACACUUAUGUCUCAGAAUCACAACU
Molecule: long non-coding RNA, 1027 nt
Filed under: Sorghum bicolor (sorghum)
Lineage: Eukaryota; Viridiplantae; Streptophyta; Magnoliopsida; Poales; Poaceae
Description: long non-coding RNA (SBIC_LNC013700)
Source: RNAcentral